GCACACCUGGCUCACGGCGAGUGCGGAGCAGAAAGCACUACUGGCGCGGGCCACAGCCAGCCGCUUUCAUCUGCUAAGACCUCACCUGAAAGGCGCACCAGUGCCCUCAAGGAUCCUCCCGCCUCUGCAGGAUGUCGAGGCUCCUCCUCGCCGGGAGGAGAAAGCGGAAUCCCCUCCCUGCAUUCUCGGACAGUGCCACGUCCUCCGGCUGCCAGCGGGGCAGCGCCGCUAGGUAUGUGAGCUUCAAAGUUGGAAGAAAUUAAGCAACAUGCUUUGGAAUCUAUGGUGAUCUAUAGAAAGGCAAAGUUUCUGGACUCACCCUGACUGAUGGAAAGACAGACUGCCUGCCAGGACACUACCCUGCUGUACCCAGUCUUAAGUAUAAUAAAGAUCUCAUUUUUUACUGUCAAUGCAAGCCACAUUUUCCUAUUAGGAAAAUGUGAAUGAAACAAAGUGCUCUUCAAGAGCAAACCCUGAAUUAUACUUUGGGUUAUUCUCUGUUCCUCAAAAGGAUUUUGCAUCUAACUGAUAGUCUCCAAAUUGUAAUGACAGUAUAUAGAUAGCUUGGUGUAGACAUACAGGUCAAUACAAAUGGAGAAAAGGCAAUUUGCCAUUGAAGAAUAUGUUUGCUUUAAGUAAAGAUCAAUAUACUAAGAAAGCUAUACAUAUCUAGACUUCCAAAAACAGAUGGGAAUAAACUACUCAGCAAUCAGAAUAUUCGAAGAUGGCACUCUGUUCACUUCCAGAGAAAAUAGUUCAAAACUGUAUCUCAAAGUGGAUAUAAGCUAUUGUACUAGAAUUAGUCCCUGUGUGAGCAUUUGGCAUUAUAAAAUAAGAUGUUCCCAAUGAAAAGAUCACUGGUAUGUAGAUAAUAAAAUGUGAAAAUAAAAAUUUAAAAAUAAAACAAAAAUUAUGUGAUAAUAAA
This 925-nucleotide long non-coding RNA is filed under the name Homo sapiens (human). Its description in RNAcentral is "uncharacterized LOC107985524 (LOC107985524)". The record is from RNAcentral. Lineage: Eukaryota; Metazoa; Chordata; Mammalia; Primates; Hominidae.